GUGGGGAAUAUUGCACAAUGGGCGAAAGCCUGAUGCAGCGACGCCGCGUGAGCGAUGAAGUAUUUCGGUACGUAAAGCUCUAUCAGCAGGGAAGAUAAUGACGGUACCUGACUAAGAAGCACCGGCUAAAUACGUGCCAGCAGCCGCGGUAAUACGUAUGGUGCAAGCGUUAUCCGGAUUUACUGGGUGUAAAGGGAGCGUAGGCGGCGUGGUAAGUCAGAAGUGAAAGCCCGGGGCUCAACUCCGGGACUGCUUUUGAAACUAUCAUGCUAGAGUGUCGGAGAGGUAAGUGGAAUUCCUAGUGUAGCGGUGAAAUGCGUAGAUAUUAGGAGGAACACCAGUGGCGAAGGCGGCUUACUGGACGAUAACUGACGCUGAGGCUCGAAAGCGUGGGGAGCAAACAGGAUUAGAAACCCGGGUAGUCC
Molecule: ribosomal RNA, 425 nt
Filed under: uncultured bacterium
Lineage: Bacteria
Description: partial 16S ribosomal RNA
Rfam family: Bacterial small subunit ribosomal RNA
Source: RNAcentral